AUUUAAAUAGCUUAAAAAGAGCAUUGUAUUGAAGAUACAAAGGUAAUGAAGGUUAUUUUUAAAUA
RNAcentral lists this transfer RNA (65 nucleotides) under Curculionidae sp. 6 AH-2016. Its description in RNAcentral is "tRNA-Phe". The record is from RNAcentral. Lineage: Eukaryota; Metazoa; Arthropoda; Insecta; Coleoptera; Curculionidae.